UGGGGAAUAUUGCACAAUGGGCGCAAGCCUGAUGCAGCCAUGCCGCGUGUAUGAAGAAGGCCUUCGGGUUGUAAAGUACUUUCAGCGAGGAGGAAGGCAUUAAGGUUAAUAACCUUAGUGAUUGACGUUACUCGCAGAAGAAGCACCGGCUAACUCCGUGUCAGCAGCCGCGGUAAAUACGGAGGGUGCAAGCGUUAAUCGGAAUUACUGGGCGUAAAGCGCACGCAGGCGGUCUGUCAAGUCGGAUGUGAAAUCCCCGGGCUCACCUGGGAACUGCAUCCGAAACUGGCAGGCUAGAGUCUUGUAGAGGGGGUAGAAUUCCAGGUGUAGCGGUGAAAUUGCGUAGAGAUCUGGAGGAAUACCGGUGGCGAAGGCGGCCCCCCCCUGGACAAAGACUGACGCUCAGGUGCGAAAGCGUGGGAGCAAACA
RNAcentral lists this ribosomal RNA (429 nucleotides) under uncultured Enterobacteriaceae bacterium. RNAcentral's name for it is "bacterial SSU rRNA". It matches the Rfam family "Bacterial small subunit ribosomal RNA", at positions 355 to 774 of the family's 1533-position model. The record is from RNAcentral. Lineage: Bacteria; Pseudomonadati; Pseudomonadota; Gammaproteobacteria; Enterobacterales; Enterobacteriaceae.